CCCCUAGCAGCAGUAUGUCACUAGCAGCUCUCAUGGCCAUCAGGGGGGUACAGCUAGUUCACCAGUAAGGGGCCCGAGCCCCCGCUGCACCCCCGCCCCCCGGAGCCAUCUACUCCGCAUCCUUUUUUUAAAUAAAUCUUCAGCCUGCAGCCCUGUCACCACGCAGGGGCUGCGCUAUGCAGACUGGGAAGAGCAGACAGGAAGCUCCUCCCCCUCUCUCACUCCCCUGUAUACUGGACCUUGUGGAGCAGGCCCGCUGUGUGUAUACAGGCCCGGACACCACCAGUAUGGAAGACUUACCUGCCCAGUGCCCACUGCUCAUGCUGCCCUUUUAAAGAUAUCACGCUCUCUUCUUUACCACACACUGCCACCUGGCAUCAGGGACAGUUACACAUCUAUGCAUACAUAGAGACCAUCGACACAUUGAGGAUUAUUACCACUAUCUGCAGAUUACAUCAACAUUCAACAAUAAAAGUAUCUCUAUUGUUUAACCCUUUCAGCGCUGGGAUAUGUUUAUUUAAAUAUAUAUAUUUUUAUACACACACUCUACUGUAGAGACCCUGCUCAGGUUUCAGUUUGCGGCCCAAUUUCCUGCCACAGGGUGUGGAUUAAAGUUGCUCGUGAUGCGAUAGCUACACAGCACUUAGCAUGACUGGAAGCCAACAAUGAGUUAAGUGUAUGCAGAAGAGUCCUUGCUCAGCUACUACUUUUUACUGACAAGAAAAAUUCUUCUCAUUGGAGCAGGAAGCAGGAUUUUGGAGAUAACUGGAAAAUGAGUUCUGACUAGGCCUAAACUCCUCUCACUUGGGACCUAGCAGAGAUAUGAGACAAUCAGGUUCAAGUCCUCUAGCCUGUUCAGGACGUAGGGCGUAUGCAUACGCCCUGCAUCCCGAGUCCUUUAGGACGUAGGGCGUAUGGAUACGCCCGUGGGAAUUCCGGUCCCCACCGCUAGCCAGUUGGGGACCGGACUGGGAUGCCUGCUGAAAUCAUUCAGCAGGCAUCCCGGCACAUCGCCGAGGGGGGUCCUGAGACACCCCCAUGUUGGCGAUCGGAAAAAAUGACAUGUCAAUUCAGACAUGCGAUUUUCUCCUAUUUCGGGAUGAUCGGGUCUCUAGUGACCCCAUCACGCGGAAAAUAGGGAUGAUCAGAGCUGUCAGUGACAGCCCCGAUCAUCCUGAAGGAUAGGAGCGAGGUUUCAGCGCUGCAAUCUCCUCCUGUCCCCUGCCAUUAGUCAGAAAUGAGUUCUGACCAAUGGCAGUGCACGACAGGGGGUUGCCAUGGAAACCCCCCGCUCUGCCCACCCCUGGAUGUCGGGCAGAACAGGGGGAGAAGAUGGCGGCCUGUACCUGUGCAGAAGAUGCCGUGCGGACUGCCGUUCAUCGGUAGAGACAGCGGAGAUCAGCGGCGCAGGUAGGGAAGUGACGGUGGGAGGGGGGAAAGAAAGGUGGCAGUAAAGCAAUAUUUACUGCUGCCCUUCUAGUGGUUGCUAAACUGCAACUCCCAGCAUGCCCAGACAGCCAAAGGCUGUCUCGGCAAGCUGGGAGUUGUAGUUUUGCAACAUCUGGAGGGUCACAGUUUGGAGACCACUUUUAAAGUGUUGCCCAAACGGUAGCCC
This is a long non-coding RNA of Hyla sarda, 1615 nucleotides long. RefSeq lists it as uncharacterized. The record is from RefSeq and is a predicted model, not a curated record. NCBI's taxonomy places the organism in Eukaryota, Metazoa, Chordata, Amphibia, Anura, Hylidae. The transcript has 3 exons.